GUGUUUGUACUUUAACGGUUACAAUUGUCCCCUUUCAAGCAAUAGAACUCGGGUUCGACUCCCGACAAACAUG
Non-coding RNA from Dovyalis caffra, 73 nucleotides. The record is from the annotation of a GenBank genome assembly. NCBI's taxonomy places the organism in Eukaryota, Viridiplantae, Streptophyta, Magnoliopsida, Malpighiales, Salicaceae.